UGGCGGGCGCCCCUCCCCCAGCCUCGUUGCCGCCUUGCAGUUUGAUCUCAGACUGCUGUGUUAGCAAUCAGCGAGACUCCGUGGGCAUAGGAACCUCCGAGCCAGGUGCGGGAUGUAAUCUCGUGGUGCACCGUUUUUUAAGCCAGUCCGAAAAGCGCAAUAUUCGGGUGGGAGUGACCCAAUUUUCCAGGUGCGUCCGUCACCCCUUUCUUUGACUCGGAAAGGGAACUCCCUGACCCCUUGCGCUUCCCAAGUGAGGCAAUGCCUCUCCCUGCUUCGGCUCGCACACGGUGCGCGCACCCACUGACCUGUGCCCACUGUCUGGCACUCCCUAGUGAGAUGAACCCGGUACCUCAGAUGGAAAUGCAGAAAUCACCUGUCUUCUGCGUCACUCAAGCUGGGAGCUGUAGACCGGAGCUGUUCCUAUGCGGCCAUCUUGGCUCCUCCCCAGAAUAUGGCCUUUUUAAGAAUGCAGUGGAGGUGAUACUAUGGUCAUAAUGACCAGGGGCUGGGUCAGAAGAACUUCAGAUUGAGCCUCUUGAAACAUUUGCUCUUGGAAUUCUCCCUCUCAGGAAACUAACAGCCUGCUAUGAAGCCCAAGCCACAAAGAGAGGCCAAGGGGAAAUAAACAGAGUGUGAUUAUAUGCAAAACCUACAAGAAUGAGGACCUCCAAACUCAGUGUACAGAGUGAUUUUCUGCUGAAACAAUUGGCUUUUAAAAAAUUGUGUGACUGACCAGCAGCAGUGGCUCACAUCUGUAAUCCCAGCACUUUGGGAGGCCGAGAAAAUAAAAGAGACAUCAGUGUGUGAAUGACGACUUUCUGUUGCUGACUUGGAAGACAGAGGAAUUGGGUCAUGAGCCGAGGAAGGUGGGCAGCUUCUAAAAGGCGGAAAAGUGGCUGAAGUGAGAGGAAGCGAGGAUAUGGCUGACAUUCUCCAAGAAGCAGUGACUUCAGAAGAUGACUGGCAUCUUGAACUUCAGGAAAAUGCUUGGCCUUUUUAACUCUGAAAGUCUGUUUGAAACUCAGAAGAAGAAAAUUAGGUGAAUACAAAACUGCUGCCAAACUUAGAAACUUGGUUAAAUAUCCUGCAGAAAAUAUCAUGGGCUUUUCAGAGUCCAGUUAAAUAUCUACAGAUUAUAUUUCCAGUUUCAUACCUGGGGCAUUAACUCUAUUCAUUUUACUAGCUUUAGUGAAUUUUACUUCUGGAGCAUAACAUUGCAUUGAAAAUGUGUCCUCUAACCUAUGAUAUUUAUGUAUCGUUUAAUAUGAAAUUUAUGAGGUUCCAUUUCUGAUUUCCAAAUGGAUGCAAAUUAGAACACAGGAUAUUUACAUUCUUUCAUUUCUAACCCACAUACAUAAAGUUUGACUUUAAAAUGCCACUGUUCGUGUCUGUUUCAUAGAAGCUCUAGGUAUUUAUACGUCCAUUGUGUCUCUGGCACACUCUGAAUUCCAGUUUUUAAUCUAAUAUUGGGCAGGAAUUGGCUAUAAAAAUACAAUGCCAUUGAGGACAGAGCUGGAUUGCUUUUUUUCUGUUAAUUCUUGAGAACUUUAUAGUUUCUCAGGGAAGUAUAAUUUGUAACCACAUCAUCAUCUAACACUUUUCCUGUCUUUUUUGGAGAUUGACAGUUGAAAAUCUAUAAGAUCUUUUUGCAACUAAGAUCAGGAAAAA
RNAcentral lists this long non-coding RNA (1671 nucleotides) under Homo sapiens (human). RNAcentral describes it as "HSALNT0077767". Lineage: Eukaryota; Metazoa; Chordata; Mammalia; Primates; Hominidae. The record is from RNAcentral.